This 170-nucleotide microRNA precursor is filed under the name Triticum aestivum (bread wheat). RNAcentral's name for it is "MIR2118 microRNA precursor family". It matches the Rfam family "MIR2118 microRNA precursor family". The record is from Rfam by way of RNAcentral. Lineage: Eukaryota; Viridiplantae; Streptophyta; Magnoliopsida; Poales; Poaceae. RNAcentral also lists the same sequence under 1 other name.
GUCAGUAAGAGGAAGAAUAGAGGAACUUAGAGUAGUGGGAAUGGGAACAUGGAGGAAAGCCUAACAUUCUCGGUUUUCACCUCCAGUGUUGGAGGUGAUAAUUUAAUUUGGUGUUUCCUGAUGCCUCCCAUUCCUAUUGUUCUAAAGAACUCUUCACCUUGAUUUUUUUG